Molecule: ribosomal RNA, 39 nt
Filed under: Ramulariopsis gossypii
Lineage: Eukaryota; Fungi; Ascomycota; Dothideomycetes; Mycosphaerellales; Mycosphaerellaceae
Description: partial 28S ribosomal RNA
Source: RNAcentral
GGAUACCCGCUGAACUUAAGCAUAUCAAUAAGCGGAGGA